AUGGAGAGGGCGGCCAGCCUGACAGCCAGGAUGAAGGGAGGGGGAGGUGUGGGGGUCCCAGCAGACGAAGGAGUUGUGCCCCGGAGCCGACCCUAUCCCCCGGGAAUACACCCUGGAGGACCUGACCAGCACUUAGUGGCUCAGCAGCAGCAGGCCCUGAUAAACCAGCAGGCCAUCAUACUGGCCCAACAGAUGACCAUGCAGGCCAUGGCCCUCCAGCAGCAAAUGAUGUCCAACUAUACCCCGGUCCCCAGGUCCCCCCCGACACACUCUCCAGCACACUCCCGCACACCCAGCCCUGUCAAAGAGGGCAAAGACUCACCGACAAAGACUCCGCAAAGAAAAAUCAGUCCGACGACGGCCCCCCCUCCGGAGGCAGUGGUGAAGGCCAGUGUGAACAACACGGAGCGCCUGGACCCCAGCCACGACAUCAAGGACAUCGUCAAACAGCACCAGCCCCCCGCCACCCCGGCCCCCACCCAGACACCUGGCUCACAGAGAAAAGGCGAUGGGAAGGCGUUUGAGAAGAAAUCAGACCCCCACGAUGAAGCGAUGGAGAUCCUCAAAGAUCAGAUGGCCAACCCACCAGCUCAAACACCAAAGAAACCGGCCCCGCCCAAAGAAGGGGGAGGAGCUAAAGCCAACAAAACAAUCAGACGCCGACCAAUGACCACGCCUUCCACCACGGGCCCCCCCCCUCCCACAGGUACCGUCAUUCAGCACUUUCAUUGGUAA
This 735-nucleotide long non-coding RNA is filed under the name Gadus morhua (Atlantic cod). RNAcentral describes it as "lncRNA (ENSGMOG00000033192.1)". Lineage: Eukaryota; Metazoa; Chordata; Actinopteri; Gadiformes; Gadidae. The record is from RNAcentral.